UCCUACGGGGCGCAGCAGUGAGGAAUAUUGGUCAAUGGCCGAGAGGCUGAACCAGCCAAGUCGCGUGAGGGAUGACGGCCCUACGGGUUGUAAACCUCUUUUGUCGGGGAGCAAAGAGAGUCACGUGUGGCUCAUUGAGAGUACCCGAAGAAAAAGCAUCGGCUAACUCCGUGCCAGCAGCCGCGGUAAUACGGAGGAUCCGAGCGUUAUCCGGAUUUAUUGGGUUUAAAGGGAGCGUAGAUGGGUUGUUAAGUCAGUUGUGAAAGUUUGCGGCUCAACCGUAAAAUUGCAAUUGAUACUGGCAG
RNAcentral lists this ribosomal RNA (305 nucleotides) under uncultured bacterium. RNAcentral describes it as "bacterial SSU rRNA". It matches the Rfam family "Bacterial small subunit ribosomal RNA", at positions 337 to 639 of the family's 1533-position model. The record is from RNAcentral.